Molecule: signal recognition particle RNA, 216 nt
Filed under: Morus notabilis
Lineage: Eukaryota; Viridiplantae; Streptophyta; Magnoliopsida; Rosales; Moraceae
Description: Plant signal recognition particle RNA
Rfam family: Plant signal recognition particle RNA
Source: Rfam by way of RNAcentral
AGUAUUGAUUGCGAGGGCCUGUGGCUAUCCUUUCAGCUUGCCCAUUCCAAGUCGAAAGUCGGGCUAUGUGACUUGGGCGAAGGCCUAAGUUUCGCAGUCCCUAGAGCGGAGGGCACCGUGUGAGGCUGGUUUCACAGAGUAGAAAAAACCUCCCGCUCCUCGCAGUGGAAGGAUAACAAGCUGGUGCUACUCAGAUCCAACGUGAGCCAGUGGGCU